GGGCGGGGCCGAGCGUGGUGGUUCGCUCACGUGCGGUGCGCGGGAGGUUGUCUGUUUGUCCUCUCAGCGCCUCGAUGAGGGCGGUGGGCGUGGGUGUGCUCGGUGAGGGCUGCGCUGGGCUUCCCGUAGGAGGAAUAACUGUACAAGAAGGGGCGGCGAGAGUAAAUUCCCAGCAAUGGGUCUCCACGAGUGCCCGAAACAAAACUAUUUUGAUUUCAAGAAAGGGAGAGUUGGGUGAAGCAACGCAUCGGCACAGGCUGCCCGGGGAGGUCGUGGAGUCACUGUCCCUGAAGAUGUUCAAGAACCAAGGCAGAGAAGAGAUGGUUCAGUCUUCCACAGCUGCAAGUAAUGAAGUAAAACCAAUCUACAUACAUCUGCUCAACACAGGGACAGUACAACAAGAACUUUGCACUAAUACCACAAGUAGAGAAACUGAAAACGUUUUAAGUCAUUGAAAGUGUGCACAAGUAGAGUUAAGUUUUGGGUAGAUGUGAAAUAAUGGAUGGUCUGAAGAAAUAUCCAGGGGCAACUGACAGAAAAUCAGAAAGUCAGGAGAGAUCCACUGCAGAGGGAGAGAAGUAGGGGGGGAAUGUUAGUAAAGAGGCUGGGUCAAAGCUGUGAAGUCAGUUAUCAUGGUUUGUUCAUAAUGUUUGGGUUCAUUGCUUUUUUUUCUCUUUUUUAAUUUUUUUUUUUUUUUCAUACUAACUAAUGGUUAUGUUUUAAGCCUUCAAUUCUAUGAUCAGAGCAGAGAGUCAGCUUUCAGUACUGGAAAAAAAAAACAACAACAAAGAAUAAAGGUCAUUUUCUGCUUUUUAUGACUAUGAAAUCAAUGGUGAACUUUCACUACAUGAAAACAGAAGAGAAAAGGUCCCAGUGGCAUGCUGUGUACAUUUGUUUCCAUCUCUAUUUUGGUAGAUUUUUUUUUCUUUGUCUUGCUUGGGGUCUGUAAUGCCCCCCAAUAUUUUCUUCCUUUUUCUUUCUUUUUCUUUUUUCUUUUUUUCUUUUUUUUUUUUUGAACAGCAUAAUGGUAGACCCCUAACAGAACAUAAGCACAUCUUGCCUUUAUUCAGCACAAAACACGCAUCUUAAAUCUUCUCUUACAGUUAGGUUCACAAAAGCAAACCUCAAGUUUUUGUUGGUGUUGUUUGUUUUUGUGAUUUUUUUUAGCACAACAGAAACCACAUCCUCAGAAUCACGAUAGCAUGUCAUGGUCUGUCUCACUGGCCUUAUUUCAGAAUGCUGCCACACCUCAAUUAAAAAAAACUAAUAAAAUUAAGAUAACUACUUACUCCACUGUAAAACACUUUGAAGACUUAUAGAUGAAGGCAUUAAGUGAGAACAACUUGAAAAUGAAACAUCAGAUACUCUGUACACACUCAUCUCAGGCUUGGUGUUUGAGGAGUGACGAUUUAAUCCUCUUCAAACUGCUGAACAGUUCAAAUGCCUUUCAUCAUGAUUACUAUUUCUUGUGCAUUUCUCUUCUUACAUCUCUCCCCACUUUUAACUCUUUCCUCCAUGCAGUAUAUAAAUUGGUUUUAAAUCAAUCCCUUAAGAAUCAAACAGUUUUCUGUAAAAAUGUGACGUGUCCCUGACAGCAGUUAAGGAGAAAGAUGAGUGGAAAACUUUUGUGGUGUAAAUAUUGGUCGCAAAUCUCUUGCUGUUUCUGGACAAACUCUUUACAUGCUGGUCACUCAAGCUGAGCAUUAGAAAGUAAAGAAAAAAAAACUAGUUUUCUAGAAAUCUGUUAUUUACGUAUUAAAAGUCUUUAAAAUAUCAUUUACUUAUUCUUCACUUUCACUGAAAACAUAGAUCUGUGCCUUUGUUACACAGGUGCUCAGCUGUUCAGCAUUUAUUGCAGUAAUUAGGUUUUUGGGUUGAUGUUGUUAUUGGUUUUUUUGCCCUUGAAUAUGUGAGGGUUAAUCUGUUCUGUAAUAUUUUAGUCCAUUUGAACAAAGCACUGCUGAAGCGGUUUUCCUGAUAAGCACUUAGGUCUUUUUUUUCCCCCUCUUUUAUCUUCAGUGUUGCAUAUUUGUCCCAUGGAAGCCAUAAGAACCAUCAUUUGAUACAGCAGAAGUUAUACAACUGGCCUAUCUUAAUACUGUUUCUUAGUUUUGUACUGGUGACUUUGAUGAAGUUUGCUCUAGAGAAAUUCACUAAAACCAGACAAAAUGGUUUAAAUGAGCUAAGAGCCAGGAAAGCUGUAGGAGACAACUGGUUUGGCUUUGGAUUCAUGUUUGUUUUUUCUAGGAUCAAGUCAUAUCACUCCUCUGAAUCAGCAGUAGUUCUGAGAGGCUUUUUGUUGUUGUUGUUUGCUUAAUGCAAUUACAAAUAUCACUUGCUGCAGCAGGAAAACACAGAUCACCUCUGGAGCAAGUACAUAGCUGAAGAUCUGAACAGCACUCCAGGCCUUACAUUGACCCAGGGUCUAGAGGCAAAUUGGCAUCCUUUUCAGUUUUUACAAUUUGUUCUAAUCAGAAAGUAAACAAAAAGGAGUAGUGGAAAAGAAACUGCUGAUUUCUGACAUUAAAACAGAAACAAACCUGCAAGUGAUCUAGUGAAGACGCACAAGGGCAAGAGAGAGCCAAAUUCAACUUUGGUGACAUCUGGUGCAACUCCCAUUGACACUGAGGUCAAAAGUCCCUUAUUGCAAUGUGAGAUUUGGCCACUUGUAGUAUAGUUGAGUUUGGAAGUGUGUUCUGUGCAACACUGCAGCAGUAAGAAAUCAUUGAAAAGCCAUGGCCU
Long non-coding RNA from Gallus gallus (chicken), 2742 nucleotides. RefSeq lists it as uncharacterized. The transcript has 3 exons. NCBI's taxonomy places the organism in Eukaryota, Metazoa, Chordata, Aves, Galliformes, Phasianidae. The record is from RefSeq and is a predicted model, not a curated record.